UUUUUGAGACCGAGAACUAUGGCUUGCAAGAGCAUUGUUUGACAAAAAGGUGGCCUUUAGGAUUCACCAAAGACAAACAAUACAGCUCAUUGUGAUAAAAGUUUUUUUUCCCAUUUUCGAGAAACCAUCUGUCUCGUGAUGAGGGAGUUAUGGAAAUCGAUAUCAUUGUUAAAACCUCUGGUGGAAGUAUACAAUGACAAUAGGGUUGAAAUGAUUGCCAUCAUACUAUACAUAGUACAUAGGGUUAUUAAUUCUACUACUCAUUUGAAAAGUUGUUGCUAGGCUAAUUGCCCUGAUCGUGUUUUUCUUCAUUGAGCUUGGCAGAGAACGGUGUAAAAGAACGACAAAAUGGCUCGCAAAAUCAUCCAAGAUCUCCAAAAUGUUACUACACAAGCUUCAAUUUCUUC
This 407-nucleotide long non-coding RNA is filed under the name Phoenix dactylifera (date palm). Its description in RNAcentral is "long non-coding RNA (PDAC_LNC019700)". The record is from RNAcentral. Lineage: Eukaryota; Viridiplantae; Streptophyta; Magnoliopsida; Arecales; Arecaceae.